Molecule: ribosomal RNA, 253 nt
Filed under: uncultured bacterium
Lineage: Bacteria
Description: partial 16S ribosomal RNA
Rfam family: Bacterial small subunit ribosomal RNA
Source: RNAcentral
UACGUAGGGGGCAAGCGUUGUCCGGAAUUACUGGGCGUAAAGCGCGCGUAGGUGGUUUGUUAAGUUGGAUGUGAAAGCCCCGGGCUCAACCUGGGAACUGCAUCCAAAACUGGCAAGCUAGAGUACGGUAGAGGGUGGUGGAAUUUCCUGUGUAGCGGUGAAAUGCGUAGAUAUAGGAAGGAACACCAGUGGCGAAGGCGACCACCUGGACUGAUACUGACACUGAGGUGCGAAAGCGUGGGGAGCAAACAGG